RNAcentral lists this non-coding RNA (94 nucleotides) under uncultured Oribacterium sp. RNAcentral describes it as "THF riboswitch". It matches the Rfam family "THF (Tetrahydrofolate) riboswitch aptamer". Rfam says of the family: THF riboswitch presents a pseudoknot that joins P1-P2 and the loop of P3 and two THF binding. The record is from RNAcentral. Lineage: Bacteria; Bacillati; Bacillota; Clostridia; Lachnospirales; Lachnospiraceae.
GCAGAGUAGAUCAAUGUGGGUCACGUGCCGGUGAGACGGGGAGUUGUUCACCGGACGAAGCAGAAAUGCGCUGUACAUUGAUCGCAUCCCGCUG